Molecule: long non-coding RNA, 3174 nt
Organism: Nicotiana attenuata
Lineage: Eukaryota; Viridiplantae; Streptophyta; Magnoliopsida; Solanales; Solanaceae
Exons: 3
Source: RefSeq, a predicted model, not a curated record
CUCUCAGAUUUUUGGGCUUUCCCUCUGACUUUCACACAAUUAAUUGAUUAUUACGUCAAAAACUUGAAGGCUCAUUCAUAAUAGCAAGGAAUCAGAAAAGGCAUCGGUCUCUCAAUAUUCUCCGAAAAUCGUUCCAAAAUAAUUCUCACUGCUUCAAAUUCGGCGAACAUAAAUCAACAAUGAACAGAACAGCUUCCAUUGCAGCGACACCAAAAAUUGAUAAUAAAUCGACAAUCAACAAGGAGAAGAAACAACCCAACAACCGUUUCAAGCAAAAUCUCAAUUCCAGAUGCAAUAACGAGAAGAAAUCAAUUUAACCAUCUGUGAGAAAGAUAUGAAGGCCUUAGAUUGGUUUUCCCGUUUUUGAGUCGCAGACGUCGAAGCAACAAUUUACCCGAGCGUGGGGAUUCUGGGUGAAACUUUAUUCUCCUCUUGUUCUUCCUUUCCAUUUGACUUUCACAUCAUUUGUCCUAUGGAAAGAGGGGAAAAACAGAGAAUAGCAUCUCCAACCGGUGGAUUUAUAAAAUUUAUAAUUCUAUUUCUACAAAAAGUGAUGGAUUUAUUAGAGUGACAGAAUGAGCUAAUCAACAAAAGGAAAGUGUUUUUCUUGUGAUUUUAUUGGAUAAAAGAAUGACAAUUCAGGAGAAGAUAUAAGAGAGAAGAAAUGUGAUAUGUCAAGACGAUGGUAUGGUAAAAUCUAGCUUUUUUAUUUCUAUUUUUAUAUUUUCUAUGACCUUUUGCUGAAGAGAACAUACAUGAUAAAUAGAGGUUCACAAAUUUUAAAAAAAGGUUAAAUAGUGUAUUUCUUCCCUCAUUUUGCAGCUUAUUUUAUAAGUAUUAGUUAUGAAUCUAAUGAUUGUUCUUUAGCUGUGUGAUAGUAAAAAUGCAGAAAAGAUAGUGUAACAACAACAAUUCCUCAACUGAACCAGAAGACAAUAAAUAAAGGGUGAAAAAGUUUAUAAGAGACAUCAGAGUGAUAGGAAAAUCUUUGUUAAGGUAUUAUUCUGUUAAUUUUUUAGAAUGGGAAGAAUAUUUUAGGUGUAUAUCAGUCCUAAGUUUCCUCUGGUAUGUAAUAAUAAUAAUCAUUUUACUUUUCCUUUACCCUUUAAGACCGAUUUUUUGAUGACCACUUGUGUUACCUUUGCAUCUUUGCCUUCUUCCCUUGGUUCUUUUCACCUUUCUGGCUUUGCUUCUGCCUGUUGCAAGAAGAUAUUCAACGAAUCUCAGGUGACGAUGGCUGAUUACUAAUGCGUCUUCUGAUAUGUUCAUUUCAUUUGUUAAAUGCUGACUAAUCUGGAGAUUUCACGCUGAGCCAUGUUCUUUUUUGUUUAAUAUGAUAGAUGGAGGCAUUUUUCCUUGGAAAAGCUCGAUUUGUUAGGAUACUUGUCUGUCUUCAUUGUUAGGAGUAAAUUUUUCAUUUUCUGCCCGUGCUUCUUGAUUUGAAAAUUGUCGAAUGCUAUCCUAAUGACUUUAUUUGUGAAAUAAUUUGUUUGUUAAUUAAACAGUGUGUCGUUACCCAAAGUUUGUGAUAGCAGAUUUGAAUGUUUUUGUAGUUUGAGUGCAAUGGCAUUCUCUUGAUUGAUUCUUAAAUUACUAUGUCAUUUGUUUAUGUAGAACUUGGAUGUGAAUUGAAUUUUUUUACUAAAAGAGAAUGGCUUAGCUUGCAAGUUGCAGUGUAUGUGUAUAAUAAUAUAAUACUUUGUAGAUGACUAUGUGGUUGAUCAUUUUUUUGGAAAAUAUGUGAAUUGUCUGUGUAGAAUCCAUCUAUUAUGACUCUAUUAUUUGAGUACCUCAAUCUAAUAUGACACUGUUUCUUUACCUUCCUGUAGGUAUUUGAUCUAACUGUGGGACGGAAAUUUUGAUAGGUAACUUGCAGAGGAGUUGCAGAUGGUCGUGACUGAAGUGGAACCACUGAGACCAAUGAGGUGCAUAAUUGAAACCAUAUAAAAUGUCUCAAGGUGUCUUUUAUUACUUAAAUAACUGUUCAUCUCUUAAGUUAUUUGAUUGUGCCAAAAGGUUUCGGUAGUUCUCUGCCUCUCUCAUAUUGCAUACCUGGACUCUGCGACAUAGUAUAUCUGAGCAAUUUUUGGACUAAGCAAUAGUCCCUGAAAACUAUAAUCCUCAAACAUUUUUAAGUACUCAGUCUCCCUUUAAUAUACCACGUUGGUAUCAGUGCCAACUUGCGCACCAGAGAGCUGUUGGGAUGGAGCAUGAAUUGUUCACAUCAUAUGAUGAAGUUUACAACAGUUUUAAUGCAUGUGUGUGCAAGAAAAUCUUGUGAGGAAAAUCUAUGCCUAUGGUUUUGAGAAUUCUUUUGCUAUUCAACAUAUGACUAUUCUUCUCUACAAAGUCUUGAUGCUAAUCAACAGGCACAAAUAAACCUCUAGGGUACAAUUUUGCAUGUAACAAACACUACUUGUUAAGAUGGUUGUUGCUGUUCUUGUCACUACUUGUAAUUACAGAAUACACCCUUUUCUUCUCAUGUUUCUCUAAUUUCUUCUGGAAGUAUGUUCCAUUACAACCCUCAGUGUGGCAUCCCUCAGUGGCUGCAAGAUUUUUGUGUUCUUUUAGCAUGAAAAGUCCAUGAACUUGCGCAGAUUGGUGUUUAACAUGUAGUUGGUUCGCACUUGUGAUAACUUACCUUUUCGCUGCCCGGAUGGUUGGUCUGAUGGUGCUGUGCAUUAGACAGUGUACAUGCUUUUGCUGUCUAAAUUGGUAUGAUCAUCCCUGUCUUGCAUUCCUCUUAUAUUUAGUGUUGCUCCUAGUAGGAGAAGAAGAUUUUAUUGCUUAUGUGUACAUCUAAAGUGCAUCGCAAACCUUCUUAGUUGUGUUUAACUGAUUGUAUGCAUACCUCACUCUCCUCUUAUCUGAUUUAUCGUCGUUAGGGUUUGUUUUAUUAGGUUUCGCAUGACACCUUGUCAUUCAACCACAACAUACGUAUGACUAGUGAAAUAAAUUAAUGGUGAAUCUUGCUCUAUUUGAUAUUCGAUCUCUCAAUUCAAUGGAAGUACAAGCUGUGCCAAGGAAAAUAAAAGAUUGGUCAACAAAGAUAAAUAACAGCUCGAUCAUUUGUUUACCCCUUGUUUUUGGUUUUUUUCUGCUUUCAUUUACCUAUAAGAAAGAUCAAGAAAUCGAGAUUCUAUAACGUUUUAGCCACUUCGUUGUAUCAAGAAA